GUCCUUUUGAUUAUAAUUUAAGGUCUGACCUGCCCACUGAUUAUUUAAAUGGCCGCGGUAAUUUGACCGUGCAAAGGUAGCAUAAUCAAUAGUUUUUUAAUUGAAAGCUGGAAUGAAAGGUUGAAUGAGAAAAUGACUGUCUCUGAUCAAUUUUAUUAGAAUUUUAUUUUUAAGUUAAAAAGCUUAAAUAUUAUUUAAAGACGAGAAGACCCUAUAGAAUUUUACAUUCUUUUUUAUUUUUUAUUUUUAGAAUUAAUAUUAUUAAUAGGGAAGUUUGUUUAGCUGGGGCGGCUGAAAAAUUAAGUAAACUUUUUUUGUAUAAAAACAUUGAUUUAUGAUUUAAUUGAUCCAUUUAUUAUGAUUAAAAGAUUAAAUUACCUUAGGGAUAACAGCGUAAUUUUUUCUGAGAGUUCAAAUCGAAGAAAUAGAUUGCGACCUCGAUGUUGGAUUAAAAUUAAUUUUUGGUGUAGAAGCUGGGAAUAUUAGGUCUGUUCGACCUUUAAAAUUUUACAUGAUCUGAGUUUAAACCGGCGUGAG
Molecule: ribosomal RNA, 537 nt
Filed under: Rhinotia sp. ARC5176
Lineage: Eukaryota; Metazoa; Arthropoda; Insecta; Coleoptera; Belidae
Description: partial 16S large subunit ribosomal RNA
Rfam family: Bacterial large subunit ribosomal RNA
Source: RNAcentral